GACGAACGCUGGCGGCGUGCUUAACACAUGCAAGUCGAGGGUAGCAAUACACUGGCGCAAGGGUGCGUAACGCGUAGAUUAUCUGCCCCAUACACUAACAUAACGCUUGGAAACGGGUGCUAAUAUUAGAUGAGGUGCUUCGGCAUCAAAGUUUCGACGGUAUGGGAUGAGUCUGCGUCUGAUUAGCUAGUUGGUAGUGUAAUGGACUACCAAGGCGACGAUCAGUAGCUGGUCUGAGAGGACGAUCAGCCACACUGGAACUGAGACACGGUCCAGACUCCUACGGGAGGCAGCAGUGAGGAAUUUUGCGCAAUGGACGAAAGUCUGAUGGAGCGACACCGCGUGAAGGAUGAAGCCUUUAACUAGGUGUAAACUUCUGUUAUGAGGGACGAAAUUUUUGACGGUACCUCAUGAGAAAGCACCGGCUAAUUACUGUGCCAGCAGCCGCGGUAA
This 453-nucleotide ribosomal RNA is filed under the name uncultured bacterium. Its description in RNAcentral is "bacterial SSU rRNA". It matches the Rfam family "Bacterial small subunit ribosomal RNA", at positions 28 to 523 of the family's 1533-position model. The record is from RNAcentral.